Molecule: small RNA, 1258 nt
Filed under: Pongo abelii (Sumatran orangutan)
Lineage: Eukaryota; Metazoa; Chordata; Mammalia; Primates; Hominidae
Description: processed transcript
Source: RNAcentral
CGAUCCCUCAGCCAGGCAUGGAGAUCUCCUGCCCCGGUGCGCGGUGCCCGGUGCAAGAGCAGCGUGCCCGCUGGGAGCGGAAACGCGCCUGCACCGCCCGGGAGCUGCUGGAGACCGAGCGGCGCUACCAAGAACAGCUGGGGCUGGUGGCCACGGGAGCUGCUUCCCUACCUGGAAGGAGGAUGCUGGGGCCAAGGGCUGGAGGGCUUCUGCCGCCACUUGGAGCUCUAUAACCAGUUUGCUGCCAACUCAGAGAGGUCCCAGACCACCCUGCAGGAGCAGCUAAAGAAAAAUAAAGGUUUCCGGAGGUUUGUACGGCUUCAGGAAGGCCGCCCUGAGUUUGGGGGCCUUCAGCUCCAGGACCUGCUCCCUCUGCCUCUUCAGCGGCUCCAGCAGUAUGAGAAUCUCGUCGUUGCUUUGGCUGAAAAUACAGGUCCCAACAGCCCUGACCAUCAACAGCUCACACGGCGCUGGUUCCUACGCCAAGGCUGGCUGUUGGUGGUGCCUCCCCAUGGGGAGCCUCGGCCCCGCAUGUUCUUCCUCUUCACUGAUGUGCUCCUCAUGGCCAAGCCUCGACCUCCACUGCACCUGCUGCGGAGUGGCACCUUUGCCUGCAAGGCCCUCUACCCCAUGGCCCAGUGUCAUCUCAGCAGGGUCUUUGGCCACUCAGGAGGCCCUUGUGGUGGGUUGCUCAGUCUGUCCUUCCCUCAUGAGAAGCUACUGCUUAUGUCCACAGACCAGGAGGAGCUGUCACGCUGGUACCACAGUCUGACUUGGGCUAUCAGCAGCCAGAAAAACUAGAGGAAUCUUAUAGAUUCCAGAACUCAGGAUACCUCAGGGAUAGGUCACAGCCAAGAGUACAAAGGAAUCUUCAGUACUGAACGAAACAGAACCCUUCAUGAUUUGACAAAGUUCACUUUGUGUUUGCCUGGACCAAGCUACUCCAGAUCAUCUGACCACCUCUUAAAAAUCACGGCCAGGCACAGUGGCUCAUGCCUGUAAUCCCAGCACUUUGGGAAGCAGAGGUGGCAGGAUCGUUCGAGCCCAGGAGUUCAAGACCAGCCUGGGCAACACAGUGAGUGAGACCCUGUCUCUAUUUAAGAAAAAAUAAUUAAGAAAUUUUAUUAAACAAGAAGAAUCAGGAAACCAAGUCUGACCCAACUGAACCAGCCCCUAACACAGAUGAGGGGAUUUGGGACUGAUAAGCUCUGUGCUGUGUCCAUGGCCCGUCAUUUAUCAAGGUUGCAGCUUUGUAAAU